CUAAUACACAUGCCAUGCAUUAUCUGGCUUCUUCUCUCCCUCCCACGAAAAGAGUUUCGUAGAGCCGUAAGGCUGUCUGGGUUCCGACAGGAACUAGUUCUGUACGGCGAAGCCCUGCCGGAUAGAUGACACCGUAUGUGUGCAACUCUGUAGAGAGAUCGUAGUUUCGGUCUUAGUUCGUGAGUGCCUCCCGAAGGGCUGUCCGUGUGACCGUCUGAGUUUCGAAGGUCCUCCCGAAGGGCUGUCCGAGUGACCGUUCGAGUUUCAAAGGUCCUCCCGAAGGGCUGUCCGCGACACCGUCCGGGGGCUGUUCGACCGCCUCCUGGAGGGCUGUCUGAGGAGCAGAUGAGGGUAUACAUCCUCGCGGUUGGGAGGUUGUAAAUCCUAGCUGCGGGGAUCUGCACCGCCGAUCGUCAUCGACUCUACUUCCCGCUGCGCUACGAGUCGACUACGAGACCGACGCUGCUGCUGCCUAGUUCGACUACGGAGUUGAAGAUCCCUCCUACUUGCCAGAGCAACCAGAUGCUAGAGUCCAGGAGCCAGACGCCACCAUCGACGACGACUCCUACGACACUGGAGGUGCCUACUACUACGUGUAGCCAGCUGACGACGACCAGGAGUAGUUAGGAGGAUCCCAGGCAGGAGGCCCGCGCCUCAUUCGAUCUGUAUCCCAGUUUGUGCUAGCCUUCUUAAGGCAACUUGUUUAACUUAGGUCUGUACUCAGAUAUUGUUGCUUCCACUGACUCGUCUAUGAUCGAGCACUUGUAUUCGAGCCCUCGAGGCCCCU
Molecule: ribosomal RNA, 787 nt
Filed under: Triticum aestivum (bread wheat)
Lineage: Eukaryota; Viridiplantae; Streptophyta; Magnoliopsida; Poales; Poaceae
Description: partial small subunit ribosomal RNA
Source: RNAcentral